AAUUCAUCUCCUCAAAAUGAUGUGUCCUGUCCAGUCCCUGUUUCUGCUAAUGUUCUGGAUUCUGGGAACCAGUGGUGAUGCUGUGCUGACCCAGACUCCACUCUCUUUGUCAGUUUCCACUGGACAGUCAGCUUCCAUCUCUUGCCAGUCAAGUCAGAGCCUCUUAGAUAGUGAUGGAAAAACCUAUUUGAAUUGGUUGCUACAGAGACCAGGACAGUCUCCCCAGCGUCUAAUUUCUCAGGUGUCCAAACUUGACACUGGAGUCCCUGAUAGGUUCAGUGGCAGUGGGUCUGGGACAGAUUUCACUCUCAAAAUCAGCAGAGUGGAGGCUGAGGAUGUGGGAGUUUAUUACUGCCUCCAAGGUACACAUGUUCCUCCCACAGUGAUGCAGACCUUAACAAAAACCUCCUUGCUUGGGAGGCCCAGCUGCAAUGGGCUGCCUGACUGGACAGGAGCAGUCACUCUGCAUCACUGUGAGAGGCAGGCACAAGGGAAUUUGGGCAAUUGUUUGCAGCUGAGACCUCAGCUGGAUGAAUGGUUUGGCUUGACCUCAAGUGACACCAAUUUCUGGGCCUUCAGCUGUAACAGCAAUGGUAAUGUCUCUGCAUUAGAAGAAUUUCAUCUCCUUAAUUUAUUUUAUUGUUGA
Peromyscus leucopus (white-footed mouse) is the source of this 646-nucleotide non-coding RNA. Lineage: Eukaryota; Metazoa; Chordata; Mammalia; Rodentia; Cricetidae. The record is from the annotation of a RefSeq genome assembly.